This is a long non-coding RNA of Polypterus senegalus (gray bichir), 1785 nucleotides long. RefSeq lists it as uncharacterized. The transcript has 3 exons. The record is from RefSeq and is a predicted model, not a curated record. Lineage: Eukaryota; Metazoa; Chordata; Cladistia; Polypteriformes; Polypteridae.
GAAACUUGCCGGCUUGGAACGUCACAGCCAUGCCUCGCCACGCCUCCAGAUGGCAACUCUCUGGAAGAGGAGCUGUUGCGCGCGCCAAAAAUUACGGAAGCGCACUUCACUGGCGAGGAAUGAUACUGGAGCGAAUGUGCAUGGGACCUCUUUGAAAUUUCUAUAAUAAAGACGGAAUGAAUGUUAAAUUUAAAGUGGAACAAAUGCCACGACUCGUUUAGCGCGAGAAGCUAGCAACGUUAUUUUAAAAAUAGUGCAACAACUCGAAAAGCUGUGGUGAAAGCGGAAUCUGGUUCUUUAAAAGGGCAAUUACUUGUUGCUUGUCGCUUACUUGUUGCCAUUGGCAUCUGAGGGACCUGGUUGAUCACAUUUCACUGAUGCAGACUCCAUAGCAACUAAAAGAUAAUACCUUCAGCUUUGUGGUAAACAGGCUCAUGGCUGCAUUACCGGUUUCUUAGAAGUUCAUUUAAGGGAUCAAUUUUAAAUGGAAGUCAUACAUUUGGAGACAUUAUGGACAUUCUAAUCGCAUUUUAAAGAAUGCAAAGGUAUUAUGCAAGCAUAUAUUGUAUACCCUGAAUGGAUAAAUAUAAAUUUUAUAUUUUUAAAUAUGCGCAUGUAGUACAUGAGUGACAAAAAAACAUAAUAUUUCAGAAUGUCACUUAAUCCAUUUCAGAGUUGCAAGGAGGUAGAGCCUGCAAUGCCAUGUCCACUCAUGCCCAUACCCACAGGGUUAAUUUAGAAUUGGCAAUUAACCUAACACGCACAUUAUUUGGGGUAAGGGAGAAAUAAUGUAACCAAAGGAAAACUCAUGCAGAUAUGUUUAAAUAAUGAAAACUCCACACAGACAAUGACUUCAUGUGGAACUCUAGAUCUGUGAGACAAAGUAGGAGUGAGAGAUAUGUCAGAUGAAAUUCUUCUUCUAGUACAGAUUUUGGAGAAGAAAAACAACAGCUUUACUGGAAUGCUAAAAAUUUGUGGAAAACUUAAACACAUUUAAAUGCAAAACAUUAAACAAGCAAAUCUCUUAUGCAAACAGAAAUGGGAAAUGAGAUUCUCUGUUAGCGUAUAAAUGUUGUAGGUGGCACACAGGAUGAACGGGCAUCCUGGUCAGGAACCAGGAAGAUGCCUUACUUUGAUGUGAGGCCCCAAGGGAAUGUAAAGGCAUCCCAGUCAAGAGAGUGAAGGAUGGACUAGGUGGCCCCAAUAGGUGGACGGACAUCCCAAACAGAACUGAUGAUUCCUUUUCCGGGUGGGAAGCCCCAAAUAAAUGGAUAAACAUCCCUACUGGACAUGGACUUAAUACCUUCCCUGGUCAUGAGAAAAGAAGAGGACAGGGAAGAACUGUCUUUUAAGGACAUUUAAUCCCCCCAGGCAUUAGAUUGCAGAAACUGUCCAUAUCAGCGCCCAUUCACGAACCAUCAGGAAAUACUGGGAGUUGGAGUUUGGCAGCACAGCCUUGCUGGGGUACAUGGGUGCUGCAAGGGGCCACUGCAGGGUGGUGUGCUCCCCAAUUUAUGGGAAUUAUUGUGUGACUCAGAAGUGCUUCCAUUGGGCAGAGGCCCUGGCACCGAAAGUACUCCUGGGUCCUUAGUAAAAGGGGCCACACUCCCUUGUCCAGGUAAAUUGGGGCUGGAAGGAAGGAAGGCAACACUCGACUGGAAGAGGGCGGUGUGGUGGUGAGAGGAGAGGAAUUGUGUGAUGAUUAUCAAGAGGAAAAACCUUUGCUUAGUGCUUUUCUUACUUUUGGAGGUAUUUUAUAAUAAACCAUCCAUUAUUUGAACCUGG